RNAcentral lists this ribosomal RNA (405 nucleotides) under uncultured bacterium. RNAcentral describes it as "bacterial SSU rRNA". It matches the Rfam family "Bacterial small subunit ribosomal RNA", at positions 30 to 434 of the family's 1533-position model. The record is from RNAcentral.
AUUGAACGCUGGCGGCAUGCCUUACACAUGCAAGUCGAACGGCAGCACGGGAGCAAUCCUGGUGGCGAGUGGCGAACGGGUGAGUAAUAUAUCGGAACGUGCCCAGUCGUGGGGAUAACGUAGCGAAAGCUACGCUAAUACCGCAUACGAUCUAUGGAUGAAAGCGGGGGAUCGCAAGACCUCGCGCGAUUGGAGCGGCCGAUAUCAGAUUAGGUAGUUGGUGAGGUAAAGGGCUCACCAAGCCGACGAUCUGUAGCUGGUCUGAGAGGACGACCAGCCACACUGGGACUGAGACACGGCCCAGACUCCUACGGGAGGCAGCAGUGGGGAAUUUUUGGACAAUGGGCGCAAGCCUGAUCCAGCAAUGCCGCGUGCAGGAUGAAGGCCUUCGGGUUGUUAAACGUG